AUAUGGCAAUAGUCUCCAUCCAUCCUUUCUCUGUCUAUAUAUAAUCCUUUAUGCAGGUUUGGAACAAAACAAUGGACUUUAUAUAACUGUGAGGCAGACGAAGGAAUCUUUGGGGACCCUUUCAAAACUCUCGUUAUCUUGGGGAAACACUGUUUAGGGAAGGAGGAGCGGUGGGGCGGGGAGUUGUUGUCCUUCCACGUCAUCAUUUCCAACUGGUAGGCCAAGGGGAUGUCUUCCACGUGGCAAGAUAUCCCUUUUAACGUGUUCGUUAGUCAUUGGGUGCUGACGCAACUAAAAACGUGAAACGCGUGUCUAUUUUUGAGCGCGGGAAUAGGGAAGGCCGACUGCCAAGUGGAAGAACAAGGGCGGUUGGGCCCCCACUUGAUCACGCGUCGACCGUUAAAAAGGCCUAACUCUCAAAGUAACUUUCCCUGGAAUCUGACCUCAUCGGCUUUUGUAAGCUAACCCAAUGAAACUUCGUAAAGAGCUGGUGGUGGACCCGGUUUCCACAGAAUGACGUAAUUGCCCUUAGGAAUUAACUCCUAUUUUAGUUUUUUUUUUUCCUCGAAUUUAACUACCAUUAUCUGUUUUUUUAAAGUGUUUUAAAAGAGAAUAAAAAAUUAUAUGA
Molecule: long non-coding RNA, 628 nt
Organism: Durio zibethinus
Lineage: Eukaryota; Viridiplantae; Streptophyta; Magnoliopsida; Malvales; Malvaceae
Source: RefSeq, a predicted model, not a curated record